GUGGCAGCUAGAGAUAUCACUGCUCGUUCACAUGCCACGGGGGACUUGGGUUUCCUCGCUAGCACCCUUUGCCCGAGUCUCCGUCCCUAACAGUGCUGGGAGUUUCCUAGCCGUGUGCUCUGGUCAGAAGUGACCCUCAUUCCUACGGCGAGGUCUAACUGCCUUAAUCAGAUCAGAAUAUCCCUCCUCUAUGCUGCAGUAAUUCGUUAGGUAAAGGCACAAGUUCGGCCAGCUGGAUUAAUGAUCUUAAUUCUGGGUCUUUUCUUUGAGCUAACUGGGUAGUAAGCAGUUUCUUCUUAAUUAUGAAAUCAGAAAAGCAAGUAGUGUCGUGAGCUUUCAGCAGCCACCUUGACAUGAUGUAGGAGGUGGAACCAAAGACCGAAAGAAACGAGGUCCUUGGUAACAGCUGCUGGAUCAACCCUCACCUGAAGCUAUCCCUCGUUCUAGGCUCGUCAGCGAGUGCACAUUGCUAUGGCAAAACCUAAAAAAAAAAAAAAGACUCACAUGGCCCAGCUUCAGUAGGGAGCGCCGGCGUGUGACUGGAUGCGGCGAGACCGUGUGGAGUCUGAGUUUGAUUCCCGGCCCACCCUGCGUGGCCCAGAGCGGUGGCCUACGCCUGCUUGGGAGGCUGAGGCAGGAGGAUUUCGACCCAGCGAGACCCUACCUAAAACAUCACGCACACACAGGUGAUCCAUUAACAAUGGAAUGGCUCAGAGGUGCGGUGUGUUUGUGGUGGAAACAACAUCUCCCUGGGGUCCUGUGGGUCUCUCUCCAGGAAUGACCCAAGUGAGCGGUUUCUUAGGUCUCAUUUCAGAAUCCAUGCAUCUGGGACAAAUAUUGGCACAAAUAUCUUCUCUGUUUCUCUAUUUUUAUACAAAUGAGGCCCUCUAUACAACCACCUACACCUUGCUUUUCUCAUUUAAAAUAAACCCUUGAGGUGGGGGGCCAGCAGGUGGCAUGGUGGUUAAGGC
Long non-coding RNA from Tupaia belangeri chinensis (Chinese tree shrew), 971 nucleotides. RefSeq lists it as uncharacterized. The transcript has 3 exons. NCBI's taxonomy places the organism in Eukaryota, Metazoa, Chordata, Mammalia, Scandentia, Tupaiidae. The record is from RefSeq and is a predicted model, not a curated record.